This 484-nucleotide ribosomal RNA is filed under the name uncultured bacterium. Its description in RNAcentral is "partial 16S ribosomal RNA". It matches the Rfam family "Bacterial small subunit ribosomal RNA", at positions 30 to 507 of the family's 1533-position model. The record is from RNAcentral.
AUUGAACGCUGGCGGCAGGCCUAACACAUGCAAGUCGAGCGGAUGAAGGGUGCUUGCUCCUGUAUUCAGCGGCGGACGGGAGAGUAAUGCCUAGGAAUCUGCCUGGUAGUGGGGGAUAGGGUUAGGAAACGGGCACUAAUACCGCAUCCGUCCUGAGGGAGAAAGAGAAGGAGCUUCAGACCAAAAGCUAUCGGAUGAGCCUAGGUCGGAUUAGCUAGUUGGUGGGGUAAAGGCCUACCAAGGCGACGAUCAGUAACUGGUCUGAGAGGAUGAUCAGUCACACUGGAACUGAGACACGGUCCAGACUCCUACGGGAGGCAGCAGUGGGGAAUAUUGGACAAUGGGCGCAAGCCUGAUCCAGCCAUGCCGCGUGUGUGAAGAAGGUCUUCGGAUUGUAAAGCACUUUAAUUUGGGAGGAAGGGCAGUAAGUUAAUACCUCGCUGUUUUGACGUUACCAACAGAAUAAGCACCGGCUAACUUCGUG